This 984-nucleotide small RNA is filed under the name Arabidopsis thaliana (thale cress). RNAcentral describes it as "ATSL179570". Lineage: Eukaryota; Viridiplantae; Streptophyta; Magnoliopsida; Brassicales; Brassicaceae. The record is from RNAcentral.
AAGAGUUUAAGAAAAAAAGACUUUAAAGGCUUUAAAAUUUAUGAAAACCAAAAAUGUUUGAUUGGGUUAAAAAAACUUUUAAAACUUCUAAAAACUUCUUAAAGUCUUAAAAGUCUAAUCCAAUCACCCCGUCUAUCUUUCUUUUCUCCAAAUUGUUUGUUAAAAUUUCAAGAUUCUUGCCUUCAACAAUCAUCGGAAAGAAAAAAAGAUUAUUUUCCCUCAUAUUUUCUACCCAAUAGUACAAUGACACGUAUGAGUCUCUUACAAACUCUAAAAACUUUAAUUUAAGGAUCGUCCCUUACAUUAAUUAUCAGUUUUGAUUUAUUUUUUAACUUUUUCGUAAGAAUUUUAUGCUUAAAGACUCCUAUAGAAAUAUUAUUGGAGGUGGUCUUAGGUUCUUAGCACGCACAAUCAAAAACAAACAAAUCCAAAUGAGAAAGUUUAUUUGUCUCUAAAUUUGUUGAAAACCAUGUUUCGACCCUCCAAGAAAGACCAAGGUAAUUAAGGAUAUUGAGUUUAUAUUUCUCUAUAGUUUCACUAAUUACUAUAAAAUCUUAGUAUUCAUCCAUCUCGUUUUCUAUAUUGCAGAAGCGAAGACGACAUUGUUAUGGGACAUUGACGAUUGCCCGAGUCCAGAUGUUAUCCAAUUUGGUGCUAUUCAUGCACAUUUUAUGAUUCUCUUCGUUUUCAUGGUUCACACUCUAUUAUUGCUUAUGGUGAUGCGAAAAGGCUUUUAGAUGAUGCAAGACCAAACAUAAUUGAGUUCAAUCAAGUACCUUUAGGUAAAUUUUAUUCCACACUCUCUUGAUCGUUCUAGUACUUUGUGUCUUGAAUCUUAACUCUGUUUAUACGUAUAUACUAGCAAGUUGUCCACAAUGAGUGAAUUAUAUAUAUUCAGUUUUAUUUUUGAAUAUGGAAUGAUAUUUACAUAAAAUUAUAUAUAUAAUUUAUCUAUAAUUGUUAAUAUAACGCUCGAAAAUAAUU